Molecule: long non-coding RNA, 1560 nt
Organism: Carya illinoinensis
Lineage: Eukaryota; Viridiplantae; Streptophyta; Magnoliopsida; Fagales; Juglandaceae
Exons: 2
Source: RefSeq, a predicted model, not a curated record
GACCUUAAAAGUGAUAGUUAGAUGCCAUUUUUUUUUAGUUACUUAUCACUUAAAAGGUUGGGUUGUUAUUGUUACCCUAGACACUUUUUUCUAUGUUUCAGUUCUAAUUGUAUCUUGAACAUUAGGUGUUGUGUUAUAUAGAAAUAUGGAAGCUUUACUCACUAAAUACCUAUGUGAACAUUUUAUUUGAUUCUGAGUUAAUUUUGAUUCUGAGUUAUAUUCAUUUUGGUGGUUCAAAUGUCUACCGUGCUACACUUGGAUUUGUACCUCAGUGGGGAUAGAUGGAAGGUUCAAAUGUUGGAUUUACUCUUAGAUAGAGAAGGCAAUUAUUGGGUUUUCCUCAUUCUCAUUUUAUACUUUUGUAAUAAUAGAGGAAUUAUUUUUCCUUUUAAUUUUCUAAAAUCUCUUGUGCCCUACAAUUAGAGCAUUUGAUGCUAACAAGUGAUCCUUACUUUUAUUAGAGAAAAUUAACUGGGAGUAUUUUACUUGAAAGUAAACAACCAUAUUUCUAUAAGGUUUUUCGACUGUUGAAACUGUAUUCUUAUAUAUUUUCAUAGAAAUGGUCUUCAUUUAAAGGACAUCUAGUUUGUUUUCAGGCAAACUAUAUUCUUAUAUAUUUUUGUUCUAUAAAGGUCAUCUAACAUUAUUUUUGGUAUUUAUAUCAGCAUCAUAUUUGAUCUUUAAUGCAAUACUAGCCAUAAUCCUCAUCCCCUAUUCACCUGAGGUGAAAUAUUCUUUGAAAUUUCUAUCUAGAUGAAAAUCUAGAAUUGUCCUAGUUGCUCUCAAAUUAAUGUAUUUUUUGUUUAUUAUUUUAACAAUGAAUUAGUUUAUUUCUUAUGAUUUCGUUUUGCUUUAUGUCACAUUUGUUCAUAAUGCAUAACUAGUUCUUUAUUGAAAGUUCUAACUGUUGUUUUGCUCGUAGCCCUGAAUCAUUGUAUGUGUUUUUAUAGUUUUUCGGCAAUAAUUCCAUCUAUUGCUUGUGAUCUUGGUUUCAUGAUUGAGAGGUAGAUCUAUGUUUUACCUAUAGGGAGGCAGUCUUCACAUUAGUCUCGUAGGAAGCAUAUCUUUCAUUAUUUUUGCUUUUAAGUGAUGUUACUGGCUUUAUCUUUUAUCAUAUUUUAACAAUUUUAGCAAUCUAGUGUUCUCUUUUUGUUAGUUGAAUUGAUUUUCAUAUCUUUCUUUUGUGUCGUAAGUUGUAGAUUUUUAUGUUCUUAUGCAAAGGAUGCUUAUGUUACCUACUUUCCAAUAUCAUUUGAUGGUUACAAAAUCUAAGUCCCCUUAAUUGAGUAAAGUGAGUUCAUAUUUGUGUUGAGAAGAUGCCAACACAAACAUAAACACAGGUUGAGGUAGGAGCAAUACACCAUGGGAACAUCACAAGAUUACUGGUAGUAAUAGACUUUUUGAAGAUCAUUCUGGUAUCAUGAUCUUUAAUCUAUGUAAUUUUAUUUUAUUUUAUUUUAUUUUAAUGAAUCAGAGAUGUUUUGAUAACAUUGAGUUGGUGAAAUUGGAAGCAUAGUUUGUACAUCUAUUUUUGAAAUUGUUAUAUGAUGUUUUGCUGAA